GCGGGAUUAGUUUAAUGGUAAAAUGGCUCUCUUCCAAAGAGCAGACAGGAGUUCGAUUCUCCUAUCCCGCA
This 71-nucleotide transfer RNA is filed under the name Parcubacteria bacterium C7867-008. RNAcentral's name for it is "tRNA-Gly". It matches the Rfam family "tRNA". Rfam says of the family: Transfer RNA (tRNA) molecules are approximately 80 nucleotides in length. Their secondary structure includes four short double-helical elements and three loops (D, anti-codon, and T loops). Further hydrogen bonds mediate the characteristic L-shaped molecular structure. tRNAs have two regions of fundamental functional importance: the anti-codon, which is responsible for specific mRNA codon recognition, and the 3' end, to which the tRNAs corresponding amino acid is attached (by aminoacyl-tRNA synthetases). tRNAs cope with the degeneracy of the genetic code in two manners: having more than one tRNA (with a specific anti-codon) for a particular amino acid; and 'wobble' base-pairing, i.e. permitting non-standard base-pairing at the 3rd anti-codon position. Lineage: Bacteria; Candidatus Parcubacteria. The record is from RNAcentral.